This 498-nucleotide ribosomal RNA is filed under the name uncultured bacterium. RNAcentral's name for it is "partial 16S ribosomal RNA". It matches the Rfam family "Bacterial small subunit ribosomal RNA", at positions 30 to 523 of the family's 1533-position model. The record is from RNAcentral.
AUUGAACGCUGGCGGCAUGCUUUACACAUGCAAGUCGAACGGUAACAGGCCGCAAGGUGCUGACGAGUGGCGAACGGGUGAGUAAUGCAUCGGAACGUGCCCAGUCGUGGGGGAUAACGCAGCGAAAGCUGCGCUAAUACCGCAUACGAUCUAUGGAUGAAAGCGGGGGACCGUAAGGGCUCGCGCGAUUGGAGCGGCCGAUGUCAGAUUAGGUAGUUGGUGGGGUAAAGGCUCACCAAGCCAACGAUCUGUAGCUGGUCUGAGAGGACGACCAGCCACGCUGGGACUGAGACACGGCUCAGACUCCUACGGGAGGCAGCAGUGGGGAAUUUUGGACAAUGGGCGCAAGCCUGAUCCAGCAAUGCCGCGUGCAGGAAGAAGGCAUUCGGGUUGUAAACUGCUUUUGUACGGAACGAAACGGUCCUGGUUAAUACCUGGGGCUAAUGACGGUACCGUAAGGAUAAGCACCGGCUAACUACGUGCCAGCAGCCGCCGUAA